Molecule: unclassified non-coding RNA, 241 nt
Filed under: uncultured fungus
Lineage: Eukaryota; Fungi
Description: partial contains 5.8S ribosomal RNA, internal transcribed spacer 2, and large subunit ribosomal RNA
Rfam family: 5.8S ribosomal RNA (bases 1-52)
Source: RNAcentral
AACGCACAUUGCGCCCCGUGGUAUUCCGCGGGGCAUGCCUGUUCGAGCGUCAUUUCACCACUCCAGCCUGGCUGGGUGUUGGGCGUCGCGGUCCGCCGCGCGCCUUAAAGUCUUUCCGGCUGAGCGACCUGUCUCCAAGCGUUGUGAUUCCAUCAUUCGCGGCGAGGGAGGGCGACGGCGGCCGUUAAAUCUCCACUGAAAGGUUGACCUCGGAUCAGGUAGGGAUACCCGCUGAACUUAA